RNAcentral lists this ribosomal RNA (382 nucleotides) under uncultured bacterium. RNAcentral describes it as "bacterial SSU rRNA". It matches the Rfam family "Bacterial small subunit ribosomal RNA", at positions 30 to 412 of the family's 1533-position model. The record is from RNAcentral.
AUUGAACGCUGGCGGCAUGCCUUACACAUGCAAGUCGAACGGCAGCACGGGAGCAAUCCUGGUGGCGAGUGGCGAACGGGUGAGUAAUAUAUCGGAACGUGCCCAGUCGUGGGGGAUAACGUAGCGAAAGCUACGCUAAUACCGCAUACGAUCUAUGGAUGAAAGCGGGGGAUCGCAAGACCUCGCGCGAUUGGAGCGGCCGAUAUCAGAUUAGGUAGUUGGUGAGGUAAAGGCUCACCAAGCCGACGAUCUGUAGCUGGUCUGAGAGGACGACCAGCCACACUGGGACUGAGACACGGCCCAGACUCCUACGGGAGGCAGCAGUGGGGAAUUUUGGACAAUGGGCGCAAGCCUGAUCCAGCAAUGCCGCGUGCAGGAUGAA